This 450-nucleotide ribosomal RNA is filed under the name uncultured bacterium. RNAcentral describes it as "partial 16S ribosomal RNA". It matches the Rfam family "Bacterial small subunit ribosomal RNA", at positions 338 to 795 of the family's 1533-position model. The record is from RNAcentral.
CCUACGGGUGGCAGCAGUCGAGAAUUUUUGGCAAUGGGCGAAAGCCUGACCAAGCGAUGCCGCGUGCGGGAUGAAGGCCUUCGGGUUGUAAACCGCUGUCAGUGGGGAGGAAAGCUUUGUGAAGAGCAAGGCUUGACCUAUCCGCAGAGGAAGUGUGGGCUAAGUUCGUGCCAGCAGCCGCGGUAAGACGAACCACACAAACGAAAUUCGGAAUUUCUGGGGUUAAUGGGUGACUAGGCUGGGUAGGAGUGAAAUACCUCGGCUCAACCGAGGAACUGCGCCCAAAACUACUGUGCUUGAGGAAGAUAGAGGUAAGCGGAACUUACGGUGGAGCGGUGAAAUGCGUUGAUAUCGUAAGGAACACCUGUGGCGAAAGCGGCUUACUGGGUCUUUUCUGACGCUGAUGCACGAAAGCUAGGGGAGCAAACGGGAUUAGAUACCCGUGUAGUC